This 267-nucleotide long non-coding RNA is filed under the name Olea europaea subsp. europaea. Lineage: Eukaryota; Viridiplantae; Streptophyta; Magnoliopsida; Lamiales; Oleaceae. The record is from RNAcentral.
CAAAUUAUUAAAUUUGUUCAAAUAGAUCAUCAACCUUUCAUUAUUGUCAUUUAAAUCUUUCGCAUAGGUAAUCCCCAACUACGGAACCGACCGUUCUUUAAAUGCCGAGUGCCAUUAUUCAGGGGGAAUAUGAAUAUAACAUAAAUAGUUUUAAUAGAAGCCCGACCCCAACUAUUCGCUUCCCUGAGCCACCCGGCACUCUUUUCCUAGCACGGUCCAGCCAUAGUACCUUCCCCUUGGCUUCCCCCGUCUCCUGGUCACAGCCUG